UUCUUUCAUCUUGAUCAUUCUCCUCAUAUCAGGUUUUUCCUCCGUUUUUUAGGAAAGUUUGAAUCAAUCGCAGUUUAAAACAUAAAUGUAAACGAGUCAUCUCUCACUUCUUGAGACCACGCUCCUCUCACAAAACCCUACAGUCUCACCAUUUCUCUGCUUUUUCUCUAGUCAAACCGAUAUACCCCCUUCCCCAUCAACACCGCCUCCUAGCACUACCUUCACCACCUCUUUUAACCAUAUCUGAUCACAAGCACAAACGAGAAACCAUUCAUGGCCUCCACCGCCAUAUCCACCUUUUGUUUCUACCAGAAGUAUGCUGAAAUCAUUCACCAUCUUCUCUUUUUCUCCCAAAGAAAUCAACUAUCAUCUCUUUAGAUCUCUACGAAAUUAAUUGGUCAUCUGCUUUGCUCAACGUCGCCGCCAUCCUCUACGCACCUUAGAUGUCGACUGACCACCUGAUUUGGGAUCCCAAAAGCAACACCCACUAUGGAUGAUGAGAAGUGGAAGGCUAGACUCUCUAUAUUUUGUUUCUAAUCCGUCAAAUUGAAACAAAAGCGAAACGAUAAUGGAAUUCCCUCUAAGUUUUUUCAAAGGGUUUACUUCUUCUGAGGAGUUUGCGUUGAAGGAGAUGAUGAUGAUGAGAGGGGGUUGUGGUCGGACGACGUCGUCUUCUUCAUUAGUGUUGGAUAAUGAAAGGGGAGAGAUAGUGAGGGCUCUGGUUAGACCUGGCAGUAUUCAUCAUCAUCCUCAUCAUCAUAAUUCUCAUCUUCAUCAUCAUCAAAAGGGGGCAAAAGCAGAGAAAGCUUUAAUGGCUUUGAGGAAUCAUAGUGAGGUGGAGAGACGGCGGAGAGAGAGAGAAUCAACGACCAUCUCUCUAUGCUUCGUAGCCUCAUUCCAUGCACUACUAAGGCCAAUUUCGUUUCUGCUCUUAUAAUGUUCGAAUUUUUGUUGGUUCUUUUCAAUUAAUUUAUCAUGGUGUUUGAAUAUUUGAUUCGAUCACUAAUUUUUGGGCGAAUAUGUAUAUGGGUUUACUUUAAAUUUGUUCUAAGGGUGUUUUUCAUCAUUUUAAGCACUUCCCAUGGCCACAUUUUGACAUUUAAGAUCAAUCCUGUUGUUGUUAAAGGCUGAAUUUAGCAUGAAUUUCCCCCAGAUUAUACACUUAUAUAUUUCUAAUUCUCGCACUUGACAAAACAGUUCAAUGUGCUUCUCAAGAUUUUCGCAAAAAAUUGAACAUUUGGCUUCAAUUGUCAUCAAUAAAAGAAGAUUUGCGAGUGGGUGUUCCUUCCAUGUUCCUAUUCCUUUAGCAAAGUGCCUUCUCAGGAAUCGUUUGGUCCAUUUUGAUUCUUCCAUUGUGUCCUGUUAAUGUGCAUCAAUUGAGUGGACAAGCCCAACUACUUUGGCUGAUUUUUUUAAGGCUUGAUCCUUCUAAGAGAUUAUCAUCACAAACAACAUGUUUAAACAAAGGAUGGUAGAGUGAAAGCAAGAAAUAGUAUUUUUAAUGUAUGUGGCCUCACCAUUUUAGCUUUUAUCGUGCAUGUAGAAAAGGUGUCGUGAAGUUUCCUAAUUUGUGAUAGAGUUUAAUGUUGUUGCUCUUCAUAGAGGCGGAAUUCAAGGUGAAACCGAGGUUGACAACUACUCAAAAAUCAAUAUAUCUUUUAAUGACAACCACUCAAAAAUAGCUACACACUUAUUAUUAUUGUUUUGUUUCUUAUAGCAUCCUACUUUCGAGUGAUAUAGGCUAAAAAACAAUCUCUCUUUCAGUGACUAUCAAAUAAUGUCUGAUUACAAAUUGUUGAUUUGUUAUUUCAUAGCAUCUUACUUUUAUUGAUUUGUUUAUAUAACAUCAUACUUUGGUUUGAAACCUUGAAUGCUUAAUUAAAGAUUAUGGAAGUAAUCAAAAAGUUCAAAUGUUUAUCAUA
This is a long non-coding RNA of Lactuca sativa (garden lettuce), 1922 nucleotides long. RefSeq lists it as uncharacterized. The record is from RefSeq and is a predicted model, not a curated record. NCBI's taxonomy places the organism in Eukaryota, Viridiplantae, Streptophyta, Magnoliopsida, Asterales, Asteraceae.